This 243-nucleotide ribosomal RNA is filed under the name uncultured bacterium. Its description in RNAcentral is "partial 16S ribosomal RNA". It matches the Rfam family "Bacterial small subunit ribosomal RNA", at positions 15 to 250 of the family's 1533-position model. The record is from RNAcentral.
GAUCCUGGCUCAGGAUGAACGCUAGCUACAGGCUUAACACAUGCAAGUCGAGGGGCAGCGGGAUUGAAGCUUGCUUCAAUUGCCGGCGACCGGCGCACGGGUGAGUAACGCGUAUCCAACCUUCCGUACACUCAGGGAUAGCCUUUCGAAAGAAAGAUUAAUACCUGAUGGUAUCUUAAGCACACAUGUAAUUAAGAUUAAAGAUUAUCGGUGUACGAUGGGAGUGCGUUCCAUUAGGUUAGG